GAUGAACGCUGGCGGCGUGCCUAAUACAUGCAAGUCGAGCGAACAGACGAGGAGCUUGCUCCUCUGACGUUAGCGGCGGACGGGUGAGUAACACGUGGAUAACCUACCUAUAAGACUGGGAUAACUUCGGGAAACCGGAGCUAAUACCGGAUAAUAUAUUGAACCGCAUGGUUCAAUAGUGAAAGACGGUUUUGCUGUCACUUAUAGAUGGAUCCGCGCCGCAUUAGCUAGUUGGUAAGGUAACGGCUUACCAAGGCAGCGAUGCGUAGCCGACCUGAGAGGGUGAUCGGCCACACUGGAACUGAGACACGGUCCAGACUCCUACGGGAGGCAGCAGUAGGGAAUCUUCCGCAAUGGGCGAAAGCCUGACGGAGCAACGCCGCGUGGGUGAUGAAGGUCUUCGGAUCGUAAAACUCUGUUAUUAGGGAAGAACAAAUGUGUAAGUAACUAUGCACGUCUUGACGGUACCUAAUCAGAAAGCCACGGCUAACUACGUG
Molecule: ribosomal RNA, 497 nt
Filed under: uncultured bacterium
Lineage: Bacteria
Description: partial 16S ribosomal RNA
Rfam family: Bacterial small subunit ribosomal RNA
Source: RNAcentral